Molecule: ribosomal RNA, 468 nt
Filed under: uncultured bacterium
Lineage: Bacteria
Description: partial 16S ribosomal RNA
Rfam family: Bacterial small subunit ribosomal RNA
Source: RNAcentral
GACGAACGCUGGCGGCGUGCUUAACACAUGCAAGUCGAACGGAAAGGCCCUGCUUUUGUGGGGUGCUCGAGUGGCGAACGGGUGAGUAACACGUGAGUAACCUGCCCUUGACUUUGGGAUAACUUCAGGAAACUGGGGCUCAUACCGGAUAGGAGCUCCUGCUGCAUGGUGGGGGUUGGAAAGUUUCGGCGGUUGGGGAUGGACUCGCGGCUUAUCAGCUUGUUGGUGGGGUAGUGGCUUACCAAGGCUUUGACGGGUAGCCGGCCUGAGAGGGUGACCGGCCACAUUAGGACUGAGAUACGGCCCAGACUCCUACGGGAGGCAGCAGUGGGGAAUAUUGCACAAUGGCCGGAAGCCUGAUGCAGCAACGCCGCGUGCGGGAUGACGGCCUUCGAGUUGUAAACCGCUUUGGCCGGUGACGAAGCGUGAGUGACGGUAAUGGGUAAAGAAGCACCGGCUAACUACGUG